RNAcentral lists this transfer RNA (57 nucleotides) under Ovis aries (sheep). It matches the Rfam family "tRNA", at positions 8 to 63 of the family's 71-position model. From Rfam's summary of the family: Transfer RNA (tRNA) molecules are approximately 80 nucleotides in length. Their secondary structure includes four short double-helical elements and three loops (D, anti-codon, and T loops). Further hydrogen bonds mediate the characteristic L-shaped molecular structure. tRNAs have two regions of fundamental functional importance: the anti-codon, which is responsible for specific mRNA codon recognition, and the 3' end, to which the tRNAs corresponding amino acid is attached (by aminoacyl-tRNA synthetases). tRNAs cope with the degeneracy of the genetic code in two manners: having more than one tRNA (with a specific anti-codon) for a particular amino acid; and 'wobble' base-pairing, i.e. permitting non-standard base-pairing at the 3rd anti-codon position. Lineage: Eukaryota; Metazoa; Chordata; Mammalia; Artiodactyla; Bovidae. The record is from Rfam by way of RNAcentral.
UGGCUCAGAGGUUAAAGUGUCUGCCUGCAAUGCGGGAGACCCAGGUUCAAUUCCUGG